RNAcentral lists this ribosomal RNA (807 nucleotides) under Staphylococcus aureus. RNAcentral describes it as "partial 23S ribosomal RNA". It matches the Rfam family "Bacterial large subunit ribosomal RNA", at positions 639 to 1451 of the family's 2925-position model. Lineage: Bacteria; Bacillati; Bacillota; Bacilli; Caryophanales; Staphylococcaceae. The record is from RNAcentral.
UGCAAGGUUAAGCAGUAAAUGUGGAGCCGUAGCGAAAGCGAGUCUGAAUAGGGCGUUUAGUAUUUGGUCGUAGACCCGAAACCAGGUGAUCUACCCUUGGUCAGGUUGAAGUUCAGGUAACACUGAAUGGAGGACCGAACCGACUUACGUUGAAAAGUGAGCGGAUGAACUGAGGGUAGCGGAGAAAUUCCAAUCGAACCUGGAGAUAGCUGGUUCUCUCCGAAAUAGCUUUAGGGCUAGCCUCAAGUGAUGAUUAUUGGAGGUAGAGCACUGUUUGGACGAGGGGCCCCUCUCGGGUUACCGAAUUCAGACAAACUCCGAAUGCCAAUUAAUUUAACUUGGGAGUCAGAACAUGGGUGAUAAGGUCCGUGUUCGAAAGGGAAACAGCCCAGACCACCAGCUAAGGUCCCAAAAUAUAUGUUAAGUGGAAAAGGAUGUGGCGUUGCCCAGACAACUAGGAUGUUGGCUUAGAAGCAGCCAUCAUUUAAAGAGUGCGUAAUAGCUCACUAGUCGAGUGACACUGCGCCGAAAAUGUACCGGGGCUAAACAUAUUACCGAAGCUGUGGAUUGUCCUUUGGACAAUGGUAGGAGAGCGUUCUAAGGGCGUUGAAGCAUGAUCGUAAGGACAUGUGGAGCGCUUAGAAGUGAGAAUGCCGGUGUGAGUAGCGAAAGACGGGUGAGAAUCCCGUCCACCGAUUGACUAAGGUUUCCAGAGGAAGGCUCGUCCGCUCUGGGUUAGUCGGGUCCUAAGCUGAGGCCGACAGGCGUAGGCGAUGGAUAACAGGUUGAUAUUCCUGUACCACCUAU